Molecule: ribosomal RNA, 253 nt
Filed under: uncultured bacterium
Lineage: Bacteria
Description: partial 16S ribosomal RNA
Rfam family: Bacterial small subunit ribosomal RNA
Source: RNAcentral
GACGUAGGAGGCGAGCGUUGUCCGGAUUCAUUGGGCGUAAAGAGCGCGCAGGCGGCUUGGUAAGUCGGAUGUGAAAUCCCGAGGCUCAACCUCGGGUCUGCAUCCGAUACUGCCCGGCUAGAGGUAGGUAGGGGAGAUCGGAAUUCCUGGUGUAGCGGUGAAAUGCGCAGAUAUCAGGAGGAACACCGGUGGCGAAGGCGGGUCUCUGGGCCGUAACUGACGCUGAGGAGCGAAAGCGUGGGGAGCGAACAGG